RNAcentral lists this ribosomal RNA (857 nucleotides) under uncultured bacterium. Its description in RNAcentral is "SSU rRNA". It matches the Rfam family "Bacterial small subunit ribosomal RNA", at positions 524 to 1381 of the family's 1533-position model. The record is from RNAcentral.
UACGGAGGGUAGCAAGUGCUAUCCGGAUUUAUUGAUUUUAAAGGAUGCGCAAGUGCGAUAUUAUGUCAGUGAUGAAAUCACGGCGCUCAAAUCCGAAACUGCCAUUGAUACUGAUAGUCUUGAUCUUGGUUGAAGUGGCCGUAAUGUAGCAUGUAGCGGUGAAAUGCAUACAUAUGCUACAGAACACCAUAGUACGAGAAGGCAGCUCACUAACCCUAAACUGACGCUCAUGCACGAAAGCGUGGGGAUCAAACAGGAUUAAAUACCCUGGUAGAUCCACGCUGUAAACGAUGAUCACUCGUUGUUGGCGAUACACAGUCAGCGACCAAGCGAAACCGAUAAGUGAUCCACCUGGGGAGUACGAUCGCAAGGUUGAAACUCAAAGGAAUUGACGGCAGCCCGCACAAGCGGUGGAGCAUGUGGUUUAAUUCUAUGAUACGCGAGGAACCUUACCUGGGCUCAAAUGUAAGUUGACAGAUCCUGAAAGGGAUUCUUCUUCGGACAAUUUACAAGGUGCUGCAUGGUUGUUGUCAGCUCGUGCCGUGAGGUGUCGGGUUAAGUCCCAUAACGAGCGCAACCCCUACCCUCAGUUGCCAGCAUGUAAUGAUGGGGACUCUGUGGGAUCUGCUUAUGCAAGUAGAGAGGAAGGUGGGGAUGACGUCAAAUCAGCGCGGUCCUUACGUACAGGGCUACACACGUGCUACAAUGCCCGGUACAGAGGGCAGCCACCUGGUGACAGGGAGCGAAUCUUUAAAGCCGGUUUCAGUUCGGAUCGAAGUAUGCAACCCGACUUCGUGAAGCUGGAAUCGCUAGUAAUCGCGCAUCAACCAAGGCGCGGAGAAUACGUUCCCGGGCCU